Melopsittacus undulatus (budgerigar) is the source of this 201-nucleotide long non-coding RNA. RefSeq lists it as uncharacterized. NCBI's taxonomy places the organism in Eukaryota, Metazoa, Chordata, Aves, Psittaciformes, Psittaculidae. The transcript has 3 exons. The record is from RefSeq and is a predicted model, not a curated record.
GGAAAGAGCUCAGAUUCGAAGGUGAACGCCAGAGCCCAACGAUCCAAAUCAGAAAUCCCUUCUGGGCCCAUAAAGCGAACCUUGCACUGUGAUGCCCAAACCGUUAAUGAAAUUUUGAAGGAAAUGACCCAACCAUGGCUACCUCUUCUGACAGACAUUCCUGCUUCUCCUACUGCAGAGCCUUCUAAAUUUCCAUUCCCA